AUGGUGCCGGAGGACGAGGACGGCGAGGCCGGGUGCCGCGACAACGCAUUGGCCGCGACCGGUGAAGGGGGUGAAGAAGGGCGGCUUCCCUGGCCGUGGCCCUGGGAGUUGGUGCCGUGGAAGCGGCACUUGAAGGACCCGGCAUGGGUGGCCGGCGCGCAGACGCACUUGGAAGCGGGCUUGUGGCCCGCGCCGGAUGGCGCCGACGCCGACCGGUUCUUUUUCGUCCCACCUUUUAUGGUUUUUUUGGUACCUCCUCCCACCUUCGCUGGUUUUUUUACAGAUUUUUUUCGUCCCCUCCCCUCACUUCAUCGGUUUAUUUUCGCGUCAUCCUCUCACACAACGAAAGAAAUCUGA
This 357-nucleotide ribosomal RNA is filed under the name Triticum aestivum (bread wheat). RNAcentral's name for it is "partial small subunit ribosomal RNA". Lineage: Eukaryota; Viridiplantae; Streptophyta; Magnoliopsida; Poales; Poaceae. The record is from RNAcentral.